GGGCGCGUAGCUCAAGCGGAUAGAGCAUCGGAUUUCUAAUCCGAGGGUUGCAGGUUCAAGUCCUGCCGCGCCUACCA
RNAcentral lists this transfer RNA (77 nucleotides) under Nitrososphaera sp. RNAcentral's name for it is "tRNA-Arg". It matches the Rfam family "tRNA". Rfam says of the family: Transfer RNA (tRNA) molecules are approximately 80 nucleotides in length. Their secondary structure includes four short double-helical elements and three loops (D, anti-codon, and T loops). The record is from RNAcentral. Lineage: Archaea; Thermoproteati; Nitrososphaerota; Nitrososphaeria; Nitrososphaerales; Nitrososphaeraceae. RNAcentral also lists the same sequence under 3 other names.